Molecule: ribosomal RNA, 505 nt
Filed under: uncultured bacterium
Lineage: Bacteria
Description: partial 16S ribosomal RNA
Rfam family: Bacterial small subunit ribosomal RNA
Source: RNAcentral
GACGAACGCUGGCGGCGUGCCUAAUACAUGCAAGUAGAACGCACAGUUUAUACCGUAGCUUGCUACACCAUAGACUGUGAGUUGCGAACGGGUGAGUAACGCGUAGGUAACCUGCCUGGUAGCGGGGGAUAACUAUUGGUAACGAUAGCUAAUACCGCAUAAUAUUAAUUAUUGCAUGAUAAUUAAUUGAAAGGUUCAAUUGCACCACUACCAGAUGGUCCUGCGUUGUAUUAACUAGUAGGGGAGGUAACGGUUCAACUAGGCCACGAUACAUAGCCGACCUGGGGGGGUGGACGACCAAACUUGGAAUUGAGAAACGCCCCAACUCCUAAGGGAGGGAACAGUAGGGGAAUAUCGGAAAUGGACGGAAGGCUUACCGAGGAACGCCGGCGUGGUGAAGGAAGUUUUCGGAUUGUAAAGCUCUGUUGUAAGGGAAGGAAGGGUGGGAGGGUAAAAAGUUCACGCUGUGACGGUACCUUAAGAGAAAGGGACGGCUAACUACGUG